RNAcentral lists this ribosomal RNA (165 nucleotides) under Triticum aestivum (bread wheat). Its description in RNAcentral is "partial small subunit ribosomal RNA". The record is from RNAcentral. Lineage: Eukaryota; Viridiplantae; Streptophyta; Magnoliopsida; Poales; Poaceae.
AUGGAGGAGAUGAAGGAUGCCCCGAAGCUUGCGAGGCUGCGCAGCGCGGUGAGGCAGCAGAAGGGGAGGCUGUACAUCAUCAGGAAAUGCAUCACCAUGCUCAUCUGCGGCAUCCCCAAAUGUGUAUGCCCUAGUUCUCUAUCAUCUUCUUCCCCAAUUGCUUAG